RNAcentral lists this ribosomal RNA (468 nucleotides) under uncultured bacterium. Its description in RNAcentral is "partial 16S ribosomal RNA". It matches the Rfam family "Bacterial small subunit ribosomal RNA", at positions 28 to 507 of the family's 1533-position model. The record is from RNAcentral.
GAUGAACGCUGGCGGCGUGCUUAACACAUGCAAGUCGAACGGAAAGGUCCUGUAUCUGUGGGGUGCUCGAGUGGCGAACGGGUGAGUAACUCGUGAGUAACCUGGCCCUGACUUGGGGAUAACUACAGGAAACUGGGGCCAAUACCGGAUAGGAUCUUCUGCGGAAGGGUGGGGGUUGGAAAGUUUCGGCGGUCGGGGAUGGACUCGCGGCUUAGCGGCGCGUUGGUGGGGUAGUGGCUUACCAAGGCUCAGCCGGAUAGGCGGCCUGAGAGGGUAGCCGGCCACAUUGGGACUGAGAUACGGCGCAGACUGGUACGGGGGGCAGCAGUGGGAAGUAUGACACAGUGAGCGGAAGCCUGAUGCGACGACGCCGGGUGCGGGAUGACGGCCUUGGGGUUGUGAACCGGUUUCGCCUGUGACGGAGCGUGAGUGACGGUAAUAGGUAAAGAAGCACCGGCUAACUACGUG